ACCUGGAUGGCUCAGUUGGUUAAGCAUCUGACUUUAGCUCAGGUCAUGAUCUCACGGUAUGUGAGUUCGAGCCCCACCUCGGGCU
Molecule: non-coding RNA, 85 nt
Organism: Felis catus (domestic cat)
Lineage: Eukaryota; Metazoa; Chordata; Mammalia; Carnivora; Felidae
Source: Rfam